GAAUGUGUGAGGAGUGCUGAACGCCUCUUCAGGGUCGAAACAAGGACAGACUCCUGAACGUGUUCCACU
Molecule: small RNA, 69 nt
Organism: Synechococcus sp.
Lineage: Bacteria; Bacillati; Cyanobacteriota; Cyanophyceae; Synechococcales; Synechococcaceae
Rfam family: Cyano-1 RNA
Source: Rfam